This 438-nucleotide long non-coding RNA is filed under the name Mustela putorius furo (domestic ferret). RNAcentral describes it as "lncRNA (ENSMPUG00000031389.1)". The record is from RNAcentral. Lineage: Eukaryota; Metazoa; Chordata; Mammalia; Carnivora; Mustelidae.
CAUGUCUUGGUUUGAUCGAUUGUUAAGUAAAUACCUGGUGUUAAGAGUUCUGUUCCUCAUGAAAUUAUGAUCAAACAAAUGACCCCUAAUAGAACUUUGACAGCUUAGUAAUAAUAGAUUAUCCUCAACUAGCAAAAUAAAGUGAGACUUUAUCAACUAAUAUGUGCCAGGUGCCGAGACUGAGAGAAGAUUGCAGUCCCAAUUUCAUAUGCAAAUGCAGAAGUGUUGCCCGAACAAUUUCUGGGAGCCAUUAUAAAGGAAGUAAACACAGUUCCUGUGGAGUCCGAAGGAAUAAAGCCCUCUCUGGUAGUCACCACCUGAUCUGAGACCCCAACAGUGAAGAGGUGCUGAAUCCUUUGAGGAAAGCAGCUCAUUCGUUGAAAUAAAUGAGAUAAAUGCUGGUUAAAAUCCUUCAGUCUUUCUGGCAUAAAAGCUAGU